This 428-nucleotide ribosomal RNA is filed under the name Bacteroidota bacterium. Its description in RNAcentral is "Bacteroidetes bacterium partial 16S ribosomal RNA". It matches the Rfam family "Bacterial small subunit ribosomal RNA", at positions 355 to 776 of the family's 1533-position model. Lineage: Bacteria; Pseudomonadati; Bacteroidota. The record is from RNAcentral.
UAGGGAAUCUUCCGCAAUGGACGCAAGUCUGACGGAGCAACGCCGCGUGAGUGAAGAAGGAUUUCGGUUCGUAAAACUCUGUUGUUAGAGAAGAACAGCGCAUAGAGUAACUGUUAUGCGUGUGACGGUAUCUCACCAGAAAGCCACGGCUAACUACGUGCCAGCAGCCGCGGUAAUACGUAGGUGGCAAGCGUUGUCCGGAUUUAUUGGGCGUAAAGUGAGCGCAGGCGGUUAGAAAAGUAUGAAGUGAAAGGCAGUGGCUCAACCAUUGUAGGCUUUGGAAACUGUUUAACUUGAGUGCAGAGGGGGAGAGUGGAAUUCCAUGUGUAGCGGUGAAAUGCGUAGAUAUAUGGAGGAACACCGGUGGCGAAAGCGGCUCUCUGGACUGUAACUGACACUGAGGCUCGAAAGCGUGGGGAGCGAACAGG